GCUCUGGAAGUCUCUCACCGGCAGCUGCUGCUCUCGCUGGGGGCGGCCGAUGCCACCGGCAACAACAACAACGUCCCCAACAGUGUCCCCAACAGUGUCACCAACAGUGUCACCAAGAGUGUCCUCAGUGUCCCCAGUGUCACCAACAGUGUUCUCAGUGUCACCAACAAUGUCCCCAGUGUCACCAAGAGUGUCCCCAACUGCCACAGCACCAUCCCCAGUGUCCCCAGUGUCCCCAGCAGUGUCCCCAGCGGUGUCCCCACUGUCCCCAGUGUCCCCAGCAGUGUCCCCAGCAGUGUCCCCAGUGUCCCCAAUGUCCCCAGCAGUGUCUCCAGUGGUGUCCCCAGUGGUGUCCCCACUGUCCCCGGUGUCCCCGAGUGGGCCCAGCCACCCCCCGGCCCCUUCAUGACUUGGAGACUCGGUGACACCCCCGGACACGGUGACACCAGACACGGUGACACCAGACACGGUGACACCAGACACAGUGACACUGCCAGACAUGGUGACACAGGACACGGUGACACCGCCAGACUCGGUGACACAGGACAUGGUGACACCGCCAGACUCGGUGACACAGGACACGGUGACACCGCCAGACUCGGUGACACCUCUGGACACGGUGACACCCCCGGAUGUGGUGACACUGGACACUGUGACACUGGACACGGUGACACCUCUGGACACGGUGACACCCCCGGAUGUGGUGACACCCCCGGACAUGGUGACACCAGACAUGGUGACACAGGACACGGUGACACGGCCAGCACAGGCUCCGCCCACCUUUAACCCGGGAGAGGGGGGGGAGGGGCUGGAAUUUCCCUCCCCUCCCCCCCCAGGAAGGUUUUUCCAGGGAAUUCCCGAAUUCCCGGACAGAUGCACUUUGUUGGGAAUUCCCAAAUUUUUUUCUUUUUCCCGGAAAAAAAAAUUUCCCAAAAUUCCUAUAAAUAUGUACGUACGCCCCUCCCCCACCCUGUAAAUAGCCCCUCCCCCCUCCGGCCGACAAUCGGGGGCGGCACCCCCAAAAUCCCUGGAUUUCACCCCAAAAAUUCUGGGAUUUCACCCCAAAAAUUCUGGGAUUUCACCCCAAAAAUCCCGGGAUUUCACCCCAAAAAUUCUGGGAUUUCACCCCCAAAAAUUCCGGGAUUUCACCCCAAAAAUUCUGGGAUUUCACCCCAAAAAUUCCGUGAUUUCCACCCAAAAUCCCAGGAUUUCACCCCAAAAAUUCUGGGAUUUCACCCCAAAAAUCCUGGGAAUUCACCCC
RNAcentral lists this long non-coding RNA (1261 nucleotides) under Parus major (Great Tit). Its description in RNAcentral is "lncRNA (ENSPMJG00000004081.1)". Lineage: Eukaryota; Metazoa; Chordata; Aves; Passeriformes; Paridae. The record is from RNAcentral.